UGCCUGGCUGUAGCAUCUCGCUGCUUUUUCAUAUCAUCAUGGAGGAGGCUCAGGGGAGACAUUAUUGCUAUCUACAACUCCCUGAAAUGAGGUUGUGGUGAGUUGGUGGUUAUCCCCCCAGGUAACAGUGAUAGGACAAGAGGGAGUGGCCCUCAAGUUGCAUCUGGGGAGGUUCAGGUUGGAUAUUAGGAAAAAUUUCUUCUCAGAAAGAGUGGAUGAGCACUGGAGCAGGCUGCCCAGGAAGGGGGUGGAGUUACUGUUGCUGGAACCAUUAAAGAAAGGUUUAGAUGUGGUACUUAGGGACACGGGUUGGUGGCAAUAUUUGUGGUAGGUGGAUGAUUGGUCUACUGGAUGAUCUUAGAGGUCUUUUUGAACCUUAAUGAUUCUAUUUGAGUUGAUAUGCCUUAGUGACCAGAACACUUUUACGUGCUCCCUAAGCCCUGACAGACUUCAUCGGGUACUGAUGAUGGUUGGAGAAGACUGAAUGUUCAGCAACACUGUGUUCGUCGGAGUACUUUGCUAGGUGUGCUUUCAAAAACUUCAUCUGCUCUAUGUUCUUUCCACAAUUCCUUCCUCACAACCAUCUCUUUCAGUGCCCAGUUUGAAUUUAUCACCAUAGCAGAAGGCAGUGGGCAGGUGCUGUGUGCAGCCUGUGGGACCUCGGUUAAGGUAAGGAGGAACUGAAGUUCACGUGGUGGCAGGAGCACCAGACAGAGGACAUCUGGAGCCUGUAUUCAAGGAAGGAGGUGUUUAUUGCUAUUUCGGCAGGAGGUCGUUGCUACAGCGCUUGUCCCGUUCCCGCCUCCCCCUGCCGGUGGUGCCCGGCGAGGGCUGCUGGGAAGGCGGUACCAACAUGGCGGCCGGCGGUGAAGGGGCAGCGGAGGCGUGCGCGGGGCUGGGCGGGCUGGUUCUGCUCGGCGCCGUACCCGGCGCUCCGUGCUGCCCGCAUGGUCCCGCUCUCCUGUUCGUAAAGACCAGCCGAGGAAAAGAGGAGGGGAGAAGAUUCUAUGCUUGUUCGGCUUGUAGGGACAGAAAAGAUUGUAACUUCUUCCAGUGGGAGGAUGAGAAGAUAUCACAAACGAGGCUUGCAACACGUGAAGAAUAUAAUAGAAGUCAUCAGCCGCCUUGUACUCACAGACAGAAUGUGGAAAGAUACAAGAAUUUUGUUCUGUUGCCUUUAUCAAAGAGGAGAUUUUGUCAGGAAUGCCAGCAAUUGCUAUUGCCAGCUGAAUGGGAAAAACACUCAAGUCACCACUUCCUCUAUGAUAUCUCCACUGCCCAGUUAAGAAGUCCCAGUCAACUUCUGUAUCCACUAGAAAAUAAAAAAACAAAUGCACAGUAUUUAUUUGCAGACAGAAGUUGCCAGUUUCUACUGGACCUUAUUAUUUCACUAGGAUUCAGACGAGUGCUAUCUGUUGGAACGCCUAGGCUUCAUGAAAUGAUCCAGUCAAAAGCAUCACAAGAAGAAGACUUCAGGGUUACAAGCCUUCUGCUAGAUAUUGACUUCAGGUAUUCACAAUUUUACACAGAGGAUGAAUUCUGCCACUACAACAUGUUUAAUCAUUAUUUUUUUGGUGGAGAGGCUGCCCAUGAAACUUGUAGGAAAUUCUUACAUCAAGACAAAGAUGAAAGAGUAAUUAUGGUGACUGAUCCCCCAUUUGGAGGUUUAGUGGAAGCACUGGCUUCUAGUUUUAAAAAACUGAUGGCAAUGUGGAAGGAUACAGAGAAAGGAGGUAAUAAGAACCAAGAGAUGCCCAUGAUCUGGAUAUUUCCAUACUUCUUUGAGUCGCGUAUCCUUGAAUUUUUCCCAAGCUUCAGCAUGAUGGAUUAUCAGAUUAUGAUAAUCAUGCACUAUAUAAACAUGGUAAAACAGGUCGCAGACAGUCCCCUGUCCGUAUCUUCACAAACCUGUCCCCAAGUAUGAUUGUACUUCCUGCAGAAGAGGGCUAUAGGUUUUGCGCUAUCUGUCAGCGGUAUGUUAGUUCUGGCAACCACCACUGUGAAAUAUGCAAUUCAUGUACAUCAAAAGACGGUAGACGAUGGAAACAUUGUGUUCUUUGCAAAAGAUGUGUAAAACCCU
Molecule: RNA transcript, 2080 nt
Organism: Numida meleagris (helmeted guineafowl)
Lineage: Eukaryota; Metazoa; Chordata; Aves; Galliformes; Numididae
Gene: ZCCHC4
Gene name: zinc finger CCHC-type containing 4
Exons: 11
Source: RefSeq, a predicted model, not a curated record